ACGCUCGACACCUACGGAGAGGCAGCAGUCGGGAAUAUUGCGCAAUGGAGGAAACUCUGACGCAGUGACGCCGCGUAUAGGAAGAAGGUUUUCGGAUUGUAAACUAUUGUCGUUAGGGAAGAGAAAGGACAGUACCUAAGGAGGAAGCUCCGGCUAACUACGUGCCGGCAGCCGCGGUAAUCUGAGCGGGCUGGCAAGGC
This 200-nucleotide ribosomal RNA is filed under the name uncultured bacterium. RNAcentral's name for it is "partial 16S ribosomal RNA". It matches the Rfam family "Bacterial small subunit ribosomal RNA", at positions 328 to 539 of the family's 1533-position model. The record is from RNAcentral.